CCAAGGAGUCUAACACGUGCGCGAGUCAUUGGGACUUGCACAGGCCCAAAGGCGCAAUGAAAGUGAAGGUCGGCCCCGGACGUCGACCGAGUUGGGAUCCCGCGCUCUCUCUUACAGGUGCGCGGGAGCACCAACGACCCGUCCCGUCCGCACCGUCGGUGGGGCGGAGUGUGAGCGCACGCGUUGGGACCCGAAAGAUGGUGAACUAUGCCUGGGCAGGACGAAGCCAGAGGAAACUCUGGUGGAGGUCCGUAGCGAUUCUGACGUGCAAAUCGAUCGUCAGACCCGGGUAUAGGGGCGAAAGACUAAUCGAACCAUCUAGUAGCUGGUUCCCUCCGAAGUUUCCCUCAGGAUAGCUGGCGCUCGAAACGGGAAUCAGUCUCAUCCGGUAAAGCGAAUGAUUAGAGGCCUUGGGGCCGAAACGACCUCAACCUAUUCUCAAACUUUAAAUGGGUGAGAAGUCCGGCUUGCACGAGUGAAGCUCGGACGACGCAGGAUGAGAGUGCCCAGUGGGCCACUUUU
RNAcentral lists this ribosomal RNA (522 nucleotides) under Paraphrynus viridiceps. RNAcentral's name for it is "partial large subunit ribosomal RNA". It matches the Rfam family "Eukaryotic large subunit ribosomal RNA", at positions 666 to 1138 of the family's 3401-position model. The record is from RNAcentral. Lineage: Eukaryota; Metazoa; Arthropoda; Arachnida; Amblypygi; Phrynidae.